GGCGCACGGGUGCGUAACGCGUGGGAAUCUGCCCUCUGGUACGGAAUAACUCAGGGAAACUUGAGCUAAUACCGUAUAAUGACUUCGGUCCAAAGAUUUAUCGCCUGAGGAUGAGCCCGCGUAGGAUUAGCUAGUUGGUGAGGUAAAGGCUCACCAAGGCGACGAUCCUUAGCUGGUCUGAGAGGAUGAUCAGCCACACUGGGACUGAGACACGGCCCAGACUCCUACGGGAGGCAGCAGUGGGGAAUAUUGGACAAUGGGCGAAAGCCUGAUCCAGCAAUGCCGCGUGAGUGAUGAAGGCCUUAGGGUUGUAAAGCUCUUUUACCCGGGAUGAUAAUGACAGUACCGGGAGAAUAAGCCCCGGCUAACUCCGUGCCAGCCGCCGCGG
RNAcentral lists this ribosomal RNA (388 nucleotides) under uncultured bacterium. Its description in RNAcentral is "bacterial SSU rRNA". It matches the Rfam family "Bacterial small subunit ribosomal RNA", at positions 97 to 520 of the family's 1533-position model. The record is from RNAcentral.